GUCUGACGGAGCAACGCCGCGUGAGUGAUGAAGGUUUUCGGAUCGUAAAGCUCUGUUGUUAGGGAAGAACAAGUACCGUUCGAAUAGGGCGGUACCUUGACGGUACCUAACCAGAAAGCCACGGCUAACUACGUGCCAGCAGCCGCGGUAAUACGUAGGUGGCAAGCGUUGUCCGGAAUUAUUGGGCGUAAAGGGCUCGCAGGCGGUUUCUUAAGUCUGAUGUGAAAGCCCCCGGCUCAACCGGGGAGGGUCAUUGGAAACUGGGGAACUUGAGUGCAGAAGAGGAGAGUGGAAUUCCACGUGUAGCGGUGAAAUGCGUAGAGAUGUGGAGGAACACCAGUGGCGAAGGCGACUCUCUGGUCUGUAACUGACGCUGAGGAGCGAAAGCGUGGGGAGCGAACAGGAUUAGAUACC
This 414-nucleotide ribosomal RNA is filed under the name Bacillus sp. (in: firmicutes). RNAcentral describes it as "bacterial SSU rRNA". It matches the Rfam family "Bacterial small subunit ribosomal RNA", at positions 381 to 786 of the family's 1533-position model. Lineage: Bacteria; Bacillati; Bacillota; Bacilli; Caryophanales; Bacillaceae. The record is from RNAcentral.